GGCCCCGGAGUGAGCAAAGUGCAAAUUUGCGACAGCACCCUAAAAGGUGCCGGGGCUUC
This 59-nucleotide transfer RNA is filed under the name Dixonius siamensis. RNAcentral's name for it is "tRNA-Cys". The record is from RNAcentral. Lineage: Eukaryota; Metazoa; Chordata; Lepidosauria; Squamata; Gekkonidae.